GGCACUAUGGUGUAGUGGCAGCACUUGGGAUUUUGAUUGCAUGGUUCUAUAUAAUCUUCUUCCCACAACGCAGGUUCGAACCCUGCUAGUGCCU
Armillaria mellea is the source of this 94-nucleotide non-coding RNA. The record is from the annotation of a GenBank genome assembly. Lineage: Eukaryota; Fungi; Basidiomycota; Agaricomycetes; Agaricales; Physalacriaceae.